This 301-nucleotide ribosomal RNA is filed under the name uncultured bacterium. RNAcentral's name for it is "partial 16S ribosomal RNA". It matches the Rfam family "Bacterial small subunit ribosomal RNA", at positions 509 to 807 of the family's 1533-position model. The record is from RNAcentral.
CAGUAGCCACGGGAAUACCGAGGUCCCGAGCGUUGUUCGGAAUUACUGGGCGUAAAGCGCACGUAGGCGGCUUUGUAAGUUAGAGGUGAAAGCCUGGAGCUCAACUCCAGAAUUGCCUUUAAGACUGCAUCGCUUGAAUCCGGGAGAGGUGAGUGGAAUUCCGAGUGUAGAGGUGAAAUUCGUAGAUAUUCGGAAGAACACCAGUGGCGAAGGCGGCUCACUGGACCGGCAUUGACGCUGAGGUGCGAAAGCGUGGGGAGCAAACAGGAUUAGAUACCCCAGUAGUCCCUGUCUCUUAUAC